GUGGUCGUGGCUCAGUGGUAGAGCAUUUGCCUGGCACGCUUGAAGCACUGGGUUCAAUUCUCAGCACCACA
Ictidomys tridecemlineatus (thirteen-lined ground squirrel) is the source of this 71-nucleotide non-coding RNA. The record is from Rfam. Lineage: Eukaryota; Metazoa; Chordata; Mammalia; Rodentia; Sciuridae.